RNAcentral lists this ribosomal RNA (749 nucleotides) under uncultured bacterium. Its description in RNAcentral is "bacterial SSU rRNA". It matches the Rfam family "Bacterial small subunit ribosomal RNA", at positions 51 to 787 of the family's 1533-position model. The record is from RNAcentral.
ACACAUGCAAGUCGAGGGGAAACGACAUCGAAAGCUUGCUUUUGAUGGGCGUCGACCGGCGCACGGGUGAGUAACGCGUAUCCAACCUGCCCAUCACUUGGGGAUAACCUUGCGAAAGUAAGACUAAUACCCAAUGACGUCUCUAGAAGACAUCUGAAGGAGAUUAAAGAUUUAUCGGUGAUGGAUGGGGAUGCGUCUGAUUAGCUUGUUGGCGGGGUAACGGCCCACCAAGGCGACGAUCAGUAGGGGUUCUGAGAGGAAGGUCCCCCACAUUGGAACUGAGACACGGUCCAAACUCCUACGGGAGGCAGCAGUGAGGAAUAUUGGUCAAUGGACGAGAGUCUGAACCAGCCAAGUAGCGUGCAGGAUGACGGCCCUAUGGGUUGUAAACUGCUUUUAUAAGGGAAUAAAGUUAGUCUCGUGAGACUUUUUGCAUGUACCUUAUGAAUAAGGACCGGCUAAUUCCGUGCCAGCAGCCGCGGUAAUACGGAAGGUCCGGGCGUUAUCCGGAUUUAUUGGGUUUAAAGGGAGCGUAGGCCGGAGAUUAAGCGUGUUGUGAAAUGUAGACGCUCAACGUCUGCACUGCAGCGCGAACUGGUUUCCUUGAGUACGCACAAAGUGGGCGGAAUUCGUGGUGUAGCGGUGAAAUGCUUAGAUAUCACGAAGAACUCCGAUUGCGAAGGCAGCUCACUGGAGCGCAACUGACGCUGAAGCUCGAAAGUGCGGGUAUCGAACAGGAUUAGAUACCC